UCGCAUCUGUGCAUGCAGCAUAUCAAUAAGCGGAGGAAAAGAAACUAACAAGGAUUCCCCUAGGUAACGGCGAGUGAAGCGGGAAGAGCUCAAAUUUGAAAUCUUAAAGGGUUUCCCUUUACGAAUUGUAGUUUAAAGAAGUGUUUUCUGUUGAGGUUUUGGUAAAAGUUCUUUGGAAUAGGACAUCAUAGAGGGUGAGAAUCCCGUAUUUGACCUUUACUUUCAACUUUGUGAUACACUUUCAAAGAGUCGGAUUGUUUGGGAAUGCAGUCCAAAAUGGGUGGUAAAUUUCAUCUAAAGCUAAAUAUUGGCGAGAGACCGAUAGCGAACAAGUACCGUGAGGGAAAGAUGAAAAGAACUUUGAAAAGAGAGUUAAACAGUACGUGAAAUUGUCAAAAGGGAAGCGUUUGACACCAGUGUUGUUUUUUCUGAAAAUCAAUUAAAGAACUGUUUAUGCUAAGCUGUUUAGACUUUAUCAGCUAUCUGUUUAGUUUUGAGCUUUUCUUUAAUGCACUUUUCAGUUAACAAGUCAACAUCAAUUUCUUUUGCUGUAAAAAAGCUUGAGGAAGGUGGCUUGAGAUUCGUCUUAAGUGUUUAUAGCCUCUUGCCUAUGCAGUCGGAGAGAUUGAGGUCUGCAGCGUAGAUCCUUCGGGGCUAAAUGCAUUUGUGCUAAGUUAUAGCAUUUUAUAGACAACUUGUUGACUAUGAUUUGUCUUGUAGCUUACUCGCUUAUGUUAUUUUACCUACGCUUAGGAUGUUGAAUCUGUGCGAGACUAC
This 777-nucleotide ribosomal RNA is filed under the name uncultured Neocallimastigales. RNAcentral's name for it is "partial large subunit ribosomal RNA". It matches the Rfam family "Eukaryotic large subunit ribosomal RNA", at positions 24 to 644 of the family's 3401-position model. The record is from RNAcentral. Lineage: Eukaryota; Fungi; Neocallimastigomycota; Neocallimastigomycetes; Neocallimastigales.